UGGGGAAUAUUGGACAAUGGGCGCAAGCCUGAUCCAGCCAUGCCGCGUGAGUGAUGAAGGCCCUAGGGUUGUAAAGCUCUUUUGUCCGGAAAGAAAUGGCUCUGGUUAAUACCUGGGGUCGAUGACGGUACCGGAAGAAUAAGGACCGGCUAACUACGUGCCAGCAGCCGCGGUAAUACGUAGGGUCCAAGCGUUAAUCGGAAUUACUGGGCGUAAAGCGUGCGCAGGCGGUUGUGCAAGACCGAUGUGAAAUCCCCGAGCUUAACUUGGGAAUUGCAUUGGUGACUGCACGGCUAGAGUGUGUCAGAGGGGGGUAGAAUUCCACGUGUAGCAGUGAAAUGCGUAGAGAUGUGGAGGAAUACCGAUGGCGAAGGCAGCCCCCUGGGAUAACACUGACGCUCAUGCACGAAAGCGUGGGGAGCAAACAGGAUUAGAUACCCUGGUAGUCCACGCCCUAAACGAUGUCAACUAGUUGUUGGGGAUUCAUUUCCUUAGUAACGUAGUGCUAACGCUGUGAAGUUGACCGCCUGGGGAGUNCGGUCGCAAGGAUUAAAACUCAAAGGAAUUGACGGGGAUCAAUAGCUGUUUCCUG
Molecule: ribosomal RNA, 592 nt
Filed under: uncultured bacterium
Lineage: Bacteria
Description: partial 16S ribosomal RNA
Rfam family: Bacterial small subunit ribosomal RNA
Source: RNAcentral